GGGAGUGAAUGUUGGGCAUCUAAGAUAUAGCAUGUUCACAAGAUGCGCGUGGUAGAAAUGUGGAUUUUAAGAUGGAUGUUUGGUAAUAUGAUAAUGGAUAAGAUUAGGAACUACAACAUUUGCUAGAGUGUGUGUAGCACGCAUUGGCAAUAAAAUGAGAGGAUCGAUUAGGAUGGUUUGGUCGUGUUUGAUGUAGAGCAUCGAAUGUUCUAAUGCGAAGUUAGUGGUGGAAGGAGUGAGAGGCAAAAGGGGGAAAUCUAAAAUGACGUGAAGGGAAGGAGUAUCAAAAGAUUUAUAAUUUUUGGAUAUUAAUGCAGAAUUGGUUUCAAAUAAGAGCUAAAUAACG
Molecule: unclassified non-coding RNA, 346 nt
Filed under: Hevea brasiliensis (rubber tree)
Lineage: Eukaryota; Viridiplantae; Streptophyta; Magnoliopsida; Malpighiales; Euphorbiaceae
Source: RNAcentral